GGAGAGUUGGCAGAGUGGCCGAAUGCGGCGGUCUCGAAAACCGUUAUCCCGCAAGGGAUCCUGGGUUCGAAUCCCAGACUCUCCG
RNAcentral lists this transfer RNA (85 nucleotides) under Omnitrophica bacterium RIFCSPHIGHO2_02_FULL_51_18. Its description in RNAcentral is "tRNA-Ser". It matches the Rfam family "tRNA". From Rfam's summary of the family: Transfer RNA (tRNA) molecules are approximately 80 nucleotides in length. Their secondary structure includes four short double-helical elements and three loops (D, anti-codon, and T loops). Further hydrogen bonds mediate the characteristic L-shaped molecular structure. tRNAs have two regions of fundamental functional importance: the anti-codon, which is responsible for specific mRNA codon recognition, and the 3' end, to which the tRNAs corresponding amino acid is attached (by aminoacyl-tRNA synthetases). tRNAs cope with the degeneracy of the genetic code in two manners: having more than one tRNA (with a specific anti-codon) for a particular amino acid; and 'wobble' base-pairing, i.e. permitting non-standard base-pairing at the 3rd anti-codon position. The record is from RNAcentral. Lineage: Bacteria; Pseudomonadati; Candidatus Omnitrophota.